UACAGAGGUCUCAAGCGUUGUUCGGAUUCACUGGGCGUAAAGGGUGCGCAGGCGGCCAUGUGUGUGAGGCGUGAAAGCCCGGGGCUUAACCCCGGAAUUGCACCUCAAACUACAUGGCUAGAGCAUUGGAGAGGGUAGCAGAAUUCAUGGUGUAGCAGUGAAAUGCGUAGAUAUCAUGAGGAAUACCAGAGGCGAAGGCGGCUACCUGGACAAUUGCUGACGCUCAGGCACGAAAGCGUGGGGAGCAAAAGGG
RNAcentral lists this ribosomal RNA (253 nucleotides) under uncultured bacterium. RNAcentral's name for it is "partial 16S ribosomal RNA". It matches the Rfam family "Bacterial small subunit ribosomal RNA", at positions 524 to 776 of the family's 1533-position model. The record is from RNAcentral.